GUGUGACCUCAAAUCAGGUAGGAUUACCCGCUGAACUUAA
Molecule: ribosomal RNA, 40 nt
Filed under: Cortinarius sp. PDD 92371
Lineage: Eukaryota; Fungi; Basidiomycota; Agaricomycetes; Agaricales; Cortinariaceae
Description: partial 28S ribosomal RNA
Source: RNAcentral